ACUUUGUUGUAGAAUUUUUGGUCUAAUUGAUUUUUUGGUCAAUCGGUCUUUUUGAUUUUCCAUGUAAUUGUCUUUAUAAAUGGGAAAAACUGGACAUAUGUCGUGUAAUUGUUGUUAAUUUCUCUGAUACCUCGGUAACAAAGGAAAAAUACGACUAAUUAUGCUCUGUUCAAAAUCGUUUUCUGUUAAAAAUAUUUUACGUAAAAAUAUAUACAAAAUUAUCUGUAUAGUAUCCUCCCUCCUAUUUCGACUUCCCUUCGAAAACAGUGGCACAUCUUUAGCAGUAUUAGACUUUUAUAUAUAAAUACCUACUAUUAGAAUUUGAUUUAAAUUUUCGAAUUUAAAGUCUUUUCUAUUUAUCUCUAAUACGUGUUAAUAAUAGGUUUUAGCAGCAAUGCUUGGAUAUAUUAUAUAUUGUACUAUUAUUAUAUUAAUCUACACACAUUACAAUCCAUUACAAUAUUUGUUGACCGAUAUUAACGACUUAUCGUCCCUCUGCAUUAUUACAUUAUUAAACAAAUAUACCAUAUAUACUAUAUAAACCUAACAUUAUACUAUUAUAUCUCUGAGUGACAUCUCACUCACAUUGACUAACACCGUCAUCGUUGUUAUUUCAUAUCCUUGUCCCCCUACAAUCCCUUGCUGUAUAAUAUAUACACAUAGAUGAGUACCUAGGUAUAAUUACAUUUUACUAUUGACACACGCACGAUUGGUUAUUCCAUCAACUCUCUAAGAGAGAUGGGGGAGUGGGGGUUAUUAAAAAAAUUAUUAUAUAUG
This is a non-coding RNA of Cinara cedri, 777 nucleotides long. Lineage: Eukaryota; Metazoa; Arthropoda; Insecta; Hemiptera; Aphididae. The record is from the annotation of a GenBank genome assembly.